Molecule: ribosomal RNA, 480 nt
Filed under: Edwardsiella tarda
Lineage: Bacteria; Pseudomonadati; Pseudomonadota; Gammaproteobacteria; Enterobacterales; Hafniaceae
Description: bacterial SSU rRNA
Rfam family: Bacterial small subunit ribosomal RNA
Source: RNAcentral
GGGAGUACGGCCGCAAGGUUAAAACUCAAAUGAAUUGACGGGGGCCCGCACAAGCGGUGGAGCAUGUGGUUUAAUUCGAUGCAACGCGAAGAACCUUACCUACUCUUGACAUCCAGCGAAUCCUGUAGAGAUACGGGAGUGCCUUCGGGAACGCUGAGACAGGUGCUGCAUGGCUGUCGUCAGCUCGUGUUGUGAAAUGUUGGGUUAAGUCCCGCAACGAGCGCAACCCUUAUCCUUUGUUGCCAGCGGUUCGGCCGGGAACUCAAAGGAGACUGCCAGUGAUAAACUGGAGGAAGGUGGGGAUGACGUCAAGUCAUCAUGGCCCUUACGAGUAGGGCUACACACGUGCUACAAUGGCGUAUACAAAGAGAAGCGAACUCGCGAGAGCAAGCGGACCUCAUAAAGUACGUCGUAGUCCGGAUUGGAGUCUGCAACUCGACUCCAUGAAGUCGGAAUCGCUAGUAAUCGUGGAUCAGAAUG